UUCUCAUUCCCACCUCACGUUCUCUCUCUUUUGUCUUUCACAUCAUCUCUCUUCUCAUUCCCACCUCACGUUCUCUCUCUUUUGUCUUUCUACUCCUUCCUUUGAGUAAUCACUCUCUCCUAAUUAAGUUUAGUUAAUUGUUUUGGUGUAAUUGUUGUUGUUAAUGGAAUGAUUUAGGUCUGAUGGAGGGGAAGGGAUGGUUAAGAAGCUUAGGAUGUCCAAAGCCCUCACUAUAUCUAAGGAGACAUCAGUUUCAGAUGCGUGUCGGCGAAUCGCAACGCCGUGCGUUGAUGCUGUUUUGCUGCCUGAUUCAAAUGCUUUGUUAUCGGGAAUUAUGACUGCCAAGGGUUGUUCUAGAAAGGCUUGUACUAGGUAAAGUCAUCAGGGAGUGAUCACACUUUGUAUUAGGUAAAGCUCUCUCGCCUUUGUUUGAGUUCAUUGUUUGAAAUAUUUGAAAAAUCAAUGAAACUUCCGGUGACUGACUGCAACCUCAUUUAAGGGUUACAAAUUUUCAUUUUGCUAUUCAUGAAGCAAUAGUCUGUUUUGUGAGUCUCGCCGAUUUUUAUGUUUUGUGGCUUCGAUUUUUUUUGAGGAGUAUAACAACUAUAAUGCUGAAAUAGUUUAUAAAGAUGCUUAUUAUAGGUUGAGGGAAGAUUUACUUUUCAAAGAGUUGUGAAUGUGAAAUUGUUUUAUGCUUCCUGUUCUGCUUGUAUUUUUUAAUGGAUGUUAGUCAAAGAACUGACCCUAUUGAUGGUAUUUUUUCAUUUUAAUUUAAUUGAUGUAACAUAUUUACAUGUUUUAUUUUCACUAUCAUGCAAUUGAUUAUACAUUGAAAAUCAUUAAACAAAAUUUGAUUGAUAUUAAUGGACACUUGCAGUAUCUUACAGACUUUAAUUUUUGUAUAUUGGCAUCUAAGGAAUAUGAGUUUGUCUGGAACUUCACCAUCUAACUUUACUACUAAUGUUAAUAUUAAUCUUGCUGUUAGAUUCAAAGUGAGUUUCAUAUAUCUCAAUUUGACGGUUCCAUUUGAAGGAGAUGAUUUUAGUGUUGUUUCAGAAGUCUAAUUAUGUAUCUAUUUGAUAUUGGUUAAUUGGUUAAAGUGCUUAGUUUUAUUUUAAAGUAUGGACAACAUUUCAUUAUGUUUAAUUGAAUUGAUAGAUUAUUCUACAAUGGUAUAUGAAUAUUAGUUAUGAUUUUCGUAAAAAACGGUCUGCUAUUACAUGAUAAAUUGGUACUAAAAUAUUUGAAGUUUCUUUAUUGUAAUAGCUCACAUGUUUCUUUAAUUUCUAUGCUGAGGUUUGGACACACAAAUGAGUGACUAGAUUUUAUUUUCCACCUAUGAAUGUUAUUUUUCUUUGAUUGUUCUUCUAGAAAAAUUUUAAUAUAUUUUAUUUGUGAAGUAUUUUAAUAUAUUUUGGUUUAAGAGAAGAAGAGAAAUCUUGUUCCAGACUUGAAUGAUCUUACUGGAGAAGGAAAUAUUGAAAGUAUGCCUUCGAUGGGGUUUUAUAUGGAUUUGUUUCAACAUUUGAAAACUCUUGAUCAACUCUUGUUUCAACUCUUGAUCAACAUUUGAAAACCACCUUGGUUUCUAAAAUACAUAUAAAAAACAUAAGCUUAUCAAUGAGCCUCUAAAGUUGUAAUAUGCUGAAUGAUGUUUAUUGCAGUUUGGAGACGAAGAAGAUUGUGAUGAAGAUAUGGAAGAAGGUUGUGAUCAUGAAGAAGUGGAAGAAGGUUGUGAUCAUGAAGAUGUGGAAGAAGAACAAGGAGAUGAUCAAUAAGAAUAUUAAGAAGUUGUGUUUUAUAUUAUCUAGCUAGCUAGUUCUUAGAACUUUUGUUGUUAUUUUGGGAUGACUCUUUGAGAGAAACUUGUCUUUAAUUUAGCUCUUGUUUUGAAUCCCAUGACUGUUUUGAAUUUGGGAUGACAUCAAAACUUAGUAUCCAACUUAUUAGUGGCACUACAAAAAAAACUUACUUUUGACGUUAAUGUUAAUUUGCUUGUAAUUAAUUAGAUUCUAAUCA
Vicia villosa (hairy vetch) is the source of this 2019-nucleotide RNA transcript. It is a transcript of the gene named CBS domain-containing protein CBSCBSPB2-like, with no coding region annotated. NCBI's taxonomy places the organism in Eukaryota, Viridiplantae, Streptophyta, Magnoliopsida, Fabales, Fabaceae. The record is from RefSeq and is a predicted model, not a curated record. The transcript is spliced from 2 exons.